RNAcentral lists this ribosomal RNA (436 nucleotides) under uncultured bacterium. RNAcentral's name for it is "bacterial SSU rRNA". It matches the Rfam family "Bacterial small subunit ribosomal RNA", at positions 957 to 1393 of the family's 1533-position model. The record is from RNAcentral.
GAACGCGAAGAACCUUACCUGAUCUUGACAUCCCCCUGACCGGUGAGUAAUGUCACCUUUCCUUCGGGACAGGGGAGGCAGGUGGUGCAUGGUUGUCGUCAGCUCGUGUCGUGAGAUGUUGGGUUAAGUCUCGCAACGAGCGCAACCCUUAUCUUUAGUAGCCAGCAUAUAAGGUGGGCACUCUAGAGAGACUGCCAGGGAUAACCUGGAGGAAGGUGGGGAUGACGUCAAAUCAUCAUGCCCCUUAUGACUAGGGCUACACACGUGCUACAAUGGCGUAAACAAAGGGAAGCAAUCCCGCGAGGGGGAGCAAAUCUCAAAAAUAACGUCUCAGUUCGGAUUGUAGUCUGCAACUCGACUACAUGAAGCUGGAAUCGCUAGUAAUCGCGAAUCAGAAUGUCGCGGUGAAUACGUUCCCGGGUCUUGUACACACCGA